CACACAAUCAAUUUAAAUGCGAAUAGGCGAUGCAGAGUACAACCAGUCAAGUCAUUGUGCAGUGUUAAUGAAGCGGAAAGUUUCACUGAAUCAUCUUUAAGGUCUUGGGCGUGGGAGGAGACUAGUGGAGGACUGGAAGAUACUGCUUAACUCUCUGGGUGUUUCCAGCAUUUUCUGUGUUUGUUCUUCAAUUACUUGUUUAACUGCAAUUCAGUUUAUACCAGUUGAGAAUUUUCGAGUAAGCGGAAUGCAGACUGACGAGAUAAUCCCGGAAACAAAUCUUCUCGCUGUAAUGAAUCCAUGCAAACAGAAAUAAAGUCAUAGUAGGCAAUGGGCCGAAAGGCCUAUUUCCGUGCUGAAUUAUUCGAUGACACAAUGUACCAUGCACAGAUUACAAACACCGUAGUUUCGCAUCGAGGUUUUUAAUUAUUCGUCCCAUUCUAUUUCGGGAUAAAUGUUGAAGGACGAGACCGCAAAACGGCGAAGAGCCAUCUGUCAUCGCUUUACUGACUAACCACUGAAAAAAAGAUGCGAAGUGAGAAUAAUUAGCGCAUCAGGCUGCAGCCUAUUGGGCUCAUGUGUCGUCCUACAUUGGGAAUUCACCUUUGGUGGAACUACUAUCAGAAAUGCUAUUAUUUUAGCUACCUAUAAAAAUGGAAAUAAAAUGAACCGAAUGGCUAAGUCUGCAUUCAUUGCAUCCCUUCACGUCGUAAUUAAACCUUGGCUGUCCCAGAUUGCACAAUGAACCUACCCGUUUUACUGUGUAUAGUGACAAAAUCAAGUAUCAGUUUUCAGGGUUCCUUCAUGAUUGGUUGAAGUAAUUUGUCUCCGUGACGUGAAAGCGAGGGUGCCUGGUGUUUUACUCCAACUCCAGACAUAUAAUCUAUUAUUAUGUAUUCGCGAACUAUGACUAAAAAAAUGGAAACAGUCGGUCCAGCUGAAAGAUCAAAUGCAUCUGUUACCUGAUAGUCCAUUUGAACGAUCUACCGCAUCACUAAAGGCUGCUUUAAUUGGUGGUAGGUUUCAAAAAUGAACAUUCAAGUCUGUAAGGUGCCAAUCGCCGACACUUUGCAUGUGUG
Molecule: long non-coding RNA, 1079 nt
Organism: Mobula hypostoma (lesser devil ray)
Lineage: Eukaryota; Metazoa; Chordata; Chondrichthyes; Myliobatiformes; Myliobatidae
Exons: 3
Source: RefSeq, a predicted model, not a curated record